This 1457-nucleotide unclassified non-coding RNA is filed under the name Ixodes scapularis (black-legged tick). Its description in RNAcentral is "rNA-binding protein FUS, transcript variant X1". The record is from RNAcentral. Lineage: Eukaryota; Metazoa; Arthropoda; Arachnida; Ixodida; Ixodidae.
GUCAUUGCAUACGUCCAUAGCUCUCCGAGGGGGAACUGGUUAAAUUUUCUCUCUCCCAUCUUGGGUUCACUCGUUCAUUCGUGAUACCUGUGAAGCCGGUUCGAAUAAUCGCUGCAGACAUGGACGGCGGCAUGGGCAGGGGCGGCAUGUCCAGGGGCAUGGGCAGGGGAGACUUCUCCAGAGGCCGCGGUGGCCCCAUGAGAGGCCGUGGUGGGCCCCCUGGGUCCUUCAGAGGUGGCCCGCCGAGGGGAGGGGGCCCUCCCGGCCGUGGGGGUGGAGACUUCAUGGGCCGAGGACGAGGAGACUUCUCGCGGGGCCGUGGCAACGGAGACUUCUCUUCAAGAGGCCGUGGGGGUGGCGGCGACUUUGCCCUCAGGGGCCGAGGGGGUGGAGAGUUUGUGCCCCGUGGACGGGGGGGCGGAGACUUCGUACCCCGUGGGGGCCGAGGGGGUUUCACCCCGAGAGGCCGCGGCGAGUUCACCCCAAGGGGCCGCGGGGACUUCACGCCGAGGGGCCGUGGCGACUUCACUCCGAGGGGCCGCGGCCGCGGCGACUUCACGCCCCGAGGGCGGGGAGACUUUUCCUCGAGGGGACGCGGAGACUUUGCACCAAGGGGUGGUGGCUACUCCGGGGGCCCCCCGAGCCGGGACCUGGGUGGCAUGGGUGGGGGCGGACCCCCGGCCGCGAUGGGACGCGGUGGACCCUCGCUGAGGGGAGACGGACCCCCGAGGGGCAUGGCGCCCCGGGGAGGCAUGGGGGGAGUGGGAGGACCACCCGCCAAGAGGGGCCGCUGGGACGGGCCCUCGGCCUCCUCCUCCUACGCCGACUCCUACUACAACAACGGCAGGUGCCCCCUCUUGCCCCCUCCCAGCCAAGACUUUGGAAACGCUGCGGGCGGCUUCGACGACGGCGGUUACGGGUCUGCUGCGCCCACAAGUCGGAGCUCAUACCAGGACCCCUACUCCGCGCCUCCGGACAUGAUGGGCAACGGCUACCAGGCCCCCAGCACGGGUGGAUAUGGGGAGCCUGCCGGCGGAUACAGCUCCGAGUUUUCCAAGCCCAUGGACCGAGGAGUGGGCGACUACAGGAGCAGCAGCGUGGGCGGAUACGCCGCCCCUCCCAUCGCGGGCGGAGGCUAUGCGAGCAGCUACGACGACAACAGGGGCUACGGCGGGGGCCGACAGGACGGCGGCUAUGGCAGUUCCGUGCCUCCCGCGGACGGCUUCGGAGCCAGACCUGCGGUGGAUGCGUACGGCGGAGCGCUACUACCUCGUCCAUCACUGCUUCUGCCUCCGGCCUGACGGCUUCAUUCAACAGUCCAGGGUGGACCUCUGGCAUCUGUCAAAGCUUCAGGGUACCAACAACCUGAAACAUUCUGGGCCACUGGAUCCUCUGGGACAAGUGCUUCUGUGGUUGAUCUCCGAUUUACCAAAUAAAUGGUGUUGUGUUGGUUUUUA